Cimex lectularius (bed bug) is the source of this 1819-nucleotide long non-coding RNA. RefSeq lists it as uncharacterized. NCBI's taxonomy places the organism in Eukaryota, Metazoa, Arthropoda, Insecta, Hemiptera, Cimicidae. The record is from RefSeq and is a predicted model, not a curated record. The transcript is spliced from 2 exons.
AAUAUGACGACACUCGUUUUUUUAAAAAGAUUAAUAUUAUUUAUUAUAUAAAAUACUUGAUUACAUUAAGUUACAAAAAUGAUGUUCACAAUUCGAGAGGUGGAUCCGAAAUGUUUUCAAAGGGUUGUCUGUCUGGUGUUAUGGUGGGGAUGGGUGCUUACUCUGUUUUUGCUGACUCGGUGGAAUUUCUGUUGAUCAUUGUAGAAGUUGUGGCCAGAUGUAUAUAAAUAAUGUUAUUUAUAAAAAAAAUUCCUAUCAAUAUUUUUCAUUUUUGUUUGUUUGUUAGUCCCAUCCAGAUCCUCAAGGGUAAAUAUAGUGAUUUUUGAGAAAAAUAAUUUCUCAUUGUGAAGUAAUAAUUCAAAUAAGAAACACAUUUUUGGAAUUGUGCUCUGCUGGCUGUACAACAAAAUAAAACUACUACUCUGUUCAUGAGAUCCUGAAUGUAUUACAAUAGUUGGAAGAAGAAGAAGAAAAUGAAGCAUUUUUGGCUGGUGUACAUAUCACACCCCCUUUGAGUUACGAAACUGAUGAAGAUGUUGGAAGAAAAAUAUAAAUUGAAUAGCUGUCAAUUGAAAGCAGAUGGAGAAUUAUUAUUGAUCAACGUGUAAGAUGACGUGUUGAGAUUAGAUGUCCCAAAGAAUAUAAUGCAAAAACCUUCAUGUGUCAAUUCUUCCAGCUCCUAUUUCAAAAUGUCCAGAAAAGAGGGCAUCCAUGAUCAAAAUUAGGGAUGCAGAAUGCAAUCAGAAGAGAGCCCACCUGGGGAAAAAAAGAUGCAAAGAAAUCUGCAAAAUCGGAUAUUUGGGCCAAAGGUGAUCUCCCUUGCACCCGACCAAUGACUUGUCUAGAAACAUUUAAAUUGUUUUAAAUUUAAAUGUUCAGAGGACAUUCUGAGGAAGUCAGUUUUAUACACUGUACAAAAAGGCAAAGCAAACUAGCAGUCACUGAACUAAAGUUGUUUUUAGGAAUUUUUAUAUUGCUCAAUUAUCCUCAAAGAAGGAUGUAUUGGGAGGAGAAAAAUGAUGUUCAAACUGAGGCAGUUUCUACUCUCCGUCGUUAUAGAUUCAAAGAAAUUAUGUGAUUCAUUCAUUUGAAUAAUUCUGUGCUCGACAAAAAUGAUCAGCUUUCAAAAAUGAGGCCUUACCUAGAACAUUCGAGGACUUCAUUUCAAGAAUUUGCUAUUUUGAAAAAAAGAGUUUAGCAUCGACGAGGAAAUGAUACUUUACUAUGAGCAUCACAGGAUGAAACAGUGCAUCAGAGGCACGGCUAUAUAAUAUUUGGCCUCAAAGCACGGUGCCACUAUUUUAAGCUUGGCUAUAUAGUUAAUAUAGAGCUUUAUUUACAUCAAAAAUCAUUAUUCUAUAUUUGUAACUUAAAUUGGCAAUCAUAUUUGAGUCAAAUAUAAUAAUCCUAUUGUAAUAAUUAUAUUAUAUAAAAAGUCAAACUGAACCAACAGUCACUUACAGGGCCUGCUCCACUCGUGAGUCAUCAACUCUAAAUUAAAAGUACUUAUAUUAUCUUGCAAGAUUACAUGAUUCAUUAAAAUACUAUAUACCUCAUUAAAAACAGCAAAAUUAUUAUCAAUUAGCCUGACAACCAAAUUAUCUUAAGCAUCUUCAAGGCGUUUGUGCACCAGGGCCUAACUCGAAAAGUGAAUAGAUUCACUAUUCCUACUUUUUUAAACUAAGUUUUAGACUCAAAAAUAAAACAAGUAUUGUUUAUGUUAAAAAAAAGGAAAAAAAUAGUGGGCACAAAUGUGUAAAUGUAAACAAUGCUAUAAUAUUGUUCAUAACAGUGUUCAAUACACAAUUUCUUUCAGUCA